Molecule: ribosomal RNA, 460 nt
Filed under: uncultured bacterium
Lineage: Bacteria
Description: partial 16S ribosomal RNA
Rfam family: Bacterial small subunit ribosomal RNA
Source: RNAcentral
CCUACGGGAGGCAGCAGUGGGGAAUAUUGGACAAUGGGCGCUAGCCUGAUGCAGCCACGUAGCGUGGAGGAUGACUGCCCUCUGGGUUGUAACCUUCUUUUAUAUGGGAGUAAAUUGCAGUAUGUAUACUUCUUUGCAUGUACCUUAUGACUAAGUGUCGGCUAACUCCGUACCAGACGCCGCGGUAAGACGGAGGAUCCGAGCGUUAUGCGGAUUGAUUGGGGUUAAAGGGAGCGUAGGCGGGUUGUUAAGUCAGUUGUGAAAGUUUGCGGCUCAACCGUACAGUUGCAGUUGAUACUGGAAGACUUGAGUACAGUAGAGGUAGGUGGAAUUCGUGGUGUAGCGGUGAAAUGCGUAGAUAUCACGAAGAACUCCGAUGGCGAAGGCAGCUUGCUGGACUGUAACUGACGCUGAGGCUCGAAAGUGUGGGUAGCAAACAGGAUUAGAUACCCGGGUAGUC